RNAcentral lists this ribosomal RNA (253 nucleotides) under uncultured bacterium. RNAcentral's name for it is "partial 16S ribosomal RNA". It matches the Rfam family "Bacterial small subunit ribosomal RNA", at positions 524 to 776 of the family's 1533-position model. The record is from RNAcentral.
UACGGGGGGGGCAAGCGUUGUUCGGAAUUACUGGGCGUAAAGGGCUCGUAGGCGGCCAACUAAGUCGGAUGUGAAAUCCCCAGGCUUAACCUGGGAAUUGCAUCCGAUACUGGAUGGCUUGAAUCCGGGAGAGGGAUGCGGAAUUCCAGGUGUAGCGGUGAAAUGCGUAGAUAUCUGGAGGAACACCGGUGGCGAAGGCGGCAUCCUGGACCGGCAUUGACGCUGAGGAGCGAAAGCCAGGGGAGCGAACGGG